UACGAAGGGGGCUAGCGUUGCUCGGAUUGACUGGGCGUAAAGGGCGCGUAGGCGGUUUGUACAGUCAGACGUGAAAUUCCCGGGCUCAACCUGGGGGCUGCGUUUGAUACGUGCAGACUUGAGUUCGGAAGAGGGUCGUGGAAUUCCCAGUGUAGAGGUGAAAUUCGUAGAUAUUGGGAAGAACACCGGUGGCGAAGGCGGCGACCUGGUCCGAUACUGACGCUGAGACGCGAAAGCGUGGGGAGCGAACAGG
This 253-nucleotide ribosomal RNA is filed under the name uncultured bacterium. RNAcentral's name for it is "partial 16S ribosomal RNA". It matches the Rfam family "Bacterial small subunit ribosomal RNA", at positions 524 to 776 of the family's 1533-position model. The record is from RNAcentral.